RNAcentral lists this ribosomal RNA (1547 nucleotides) under Klebsiella pneumoniae. Its description in RNAcentral is "bacterial SSU rRNA". It matches the Rfam family "Bacterial small subunit ribosomal RNA". The record is from RNAcentral. Lineage: Bacteria; Pseudomonadati; Pseudomonadota; Gammaproteobacteria; Enterobacterales; Enterobacteriaceae.
AAAUUGAAGAGUUUGAUCAUGGCUCAGAUUGAACGCUGGCGGCAGGCCUAACACAUGCAAGUCGAGCGGUAGCACAGAGAGCUUGCUCUCGGGUGACGAGCGGCGGACGGGUGAGUAAUGUCUGGGAAACUGCCUGAUGGAGGGGGAUAACUACUGGAAACGGUAGCUAAUACCGCAUAACGUCGCAAGACCAAAGUGGGGGACCUUCGGGCCUCAUGCCAUCAGAUGUGCCCAGAUGGGAUUAGCUAGUAGGUGGGGUAACGGCUCACCUAGGCGACGAUCCCUAGCUGGUCUGAGAGGAUGACCAGCCACACUGGAACUGAGACACGGUCCAGACUCCUACGGGAGGCAGCAGUGGGGAAUAUUGCACAAUGGGCGCAAGCCUGAUGCAGCCAUGCCGCGUGUGUGAAGAAGGCCUUCGGGUUGUAAAGCACUUUCAGCGGGGAGGAAGGCGAUAAGGUUAAUAACCUUGUCGAUUGACGUUACCCGCAGAAGAAGCACCGGCUAACUCCGUGCCAGCAGCCGCGGUAAUACGGAGGGUGCAAGCGUUAAUCGGAAUUACUGGGCGUAAAGCGCACGCAGGCGGUCUGUCAAGUCGGAUGUGAAAUCCCCGGGCUCAACCUGGGAACUGCAUUCGAAACUGGCAGGCUAGAGUCUUGUAGAGGGGGGUAGAAUUCCAGGUGUAGCGGUGAAAUGCGUAGAGAUCUGGAGGAAUACCGGUGGCGAAGGCGGCCCCCUGGACAAAGACUGACGCUCAGGUGCGAAAGCGUGGGGAGCAAACAGGAUUAGAUACCGUAGUCCACGCCGUAAACGAUGUCGAUUUGGAGGUUGUGCCCUUGAGGCGUGGCUUCCGGAGCUAACGCGUUAAAUCGACCGCCUGGGGAGUACGGCCGCAAGGUUAAAACUCAAAUGAAUUGACGGGGGCCCGCACAAGCGGUGGAGCAUGUGGUUUAAUUCGAUGCAACGCGAAGAACCUUACCUGGUCUUGACAUCCACAGAACUUUCCAGAGAUGGAUUGGUGCCUUCGGGAACUGUGAGACAGGUGCUGCAUGGCUGUCGUCAGCUCGUGUUGUGAAAUGUUGGGUUAAGUCCCGCAACGAGCGCAACCCUUAUCCUUUGUUGCCAGCGGUCCGGCCGGGAACUCAAAGGAGACUGCCAGUGAUAAACUGGAGGAAGGUGGGGAUGACGUCAAGUCAUCAUGGCCCUUACGACCAGGGCUACACACGUGCUACAAUGGCAUAUACAAAGAGAAGCGACCUCGCGAGAGCAAGCGGACCUCAUAAAGUAUGUCGUAGUCCGGAUUGGAGUCUGCAACUCGACUCCAUGAAGUCGGAAUCGCUAGUAAUCGUAGAUCAGAAUGCUACGGUGAAUACGUUCCCGGGCCUUGUACACACCGCCCGUCACACCAUGGGAGUGGGUUGCAAAAGAAGUAGGUAGCUUAACCUUCGGGAGGGCGCUUACCACUUUGUGAUUCAUGACUGGGGUGAAGUCGUAACAAGGUAACCGUAGGGGAACCUGCGGUUGGAUCACCUCCUUACCUUAAAGAA